This is a non-coding RNA of Triticum urartu, 115 nucleotides long. Lineage: Eukaryota; Viridiplantae; Streptophyta; Magnoliopsida; Poales; Poaceae. The record is from Rfam.
CAUCUACUCCCUUCGUUCCGAAUUACUUGGCGCAGGUAUGGAUGUAUCUAGAUGUAUUUUAGUUCUAGAUACAUUCAUUUCUGCGACGAGUAAUUUGGAACGGAGGAAGUAUCAG